Molecule: ribosomal RNA, 376 nt
Filed under: uncultured Denitromonas sp.
Lineage: Bacteria; Pseudomonadati; Pseudomonadota; Betaproteobacteria; Rhodocyclales; Zoogloeaceae
Description: bacterial SSU rRNA
Rfam family: Bacterial small subunit ribosomal RNA
Source: RNAcentral
UACGUAGGGUGCGAGCGUUAAUCGGAAUUACUGGGCGUAAAGCGUGCGCAGGCGGUUGUGUAAGACAGGUGUGAAAUCCCCGGGCUUAACCUGGGAACUGCGCUUGUGACUGCACGGCUAGAGUACGGCAGAGGGGGGUGGAAUUCCACGUGUAGCAGUGAAAUGCGUAGAGAUGUGGAGGAACACCGAUGGCGAAGGCAGCCCCCUGGGCCUGUACUGACGCUCAUGCACGAAAGCGUGGGGAGCAAACAGGAUUAGAUACCCUGGUAGUCCACGCCCUAAACGAUGUCGACUAGUUGUUCGGAGAGGAAACUUUCUGGGUAACGCAGCUAACGCGUGAAGUCGACCGCCUGGGGAGUACGGUCGCAAGAUUAAA